RNAcentral lists this long non-coding RNA (205 nucleotides) under Hordeum vulgare. RNAcentral's name for it is "long non-coding RNA (HVUL_LNC018586)". The record is from RNAcentral. Lineage: Eukaryota; Viridiplantae; Streptophyta; Magnoliopsida; Poales; Poaceae.
AUAGGUUUGUGGUUUAUUUUAUUCUAUUUGUGUGUUAAAUUUCAUUUGUGGAAUAAUUCCCUAAAUGGAAUUCGCCUAAUCAGGUAUAUACCAAAUCUGGCAUAUCAAGAACAAUCCCUGUUCUUGACAUGAGUAGUUCUGAUUCUGGUUGGAAUUUCUUUGCUGUUUUGUGGUGUUUUUUGCAUGCAUAGAUAUAAGUAUGAUA